UACGUAGGGUGCAAGCGUUGUCCGGAAUUAUUGGGCGUAAAGAGCUCGUAGGCGGUCUGUCGCGUCGGCUGUGAAAUCCCGGAGCUCAACUCCGGGUCUGCAGUCGAUACGGGCAGACUGGAGUUCGGCAGGGGAGACUGGAAUUCCUGGUGUAGCGGUGAAAUGCGCAGAUAUCAGGAGGAACACCAGCGGCGAAGGCGGUGCUCUGGGCCGGAACUGACGCUGAGGAACGAAAGCGUGGGGAGCGAACAGG
RNAcentral lists this ribosomal RNA (253 nucleotides) under uncultured bacterium. RNAcentral's name for it is "partial 16S ribosomal RNA". It matches the Rfam family "Bacterial small subunit ribosomal RNA", at positions 524 to 776 of the family's 1533-position model. The record is from RNAcentral.